RNAcentral lists this non-coding RNA (238 nucleotides) under Flavobacterium frigoris. Lineage: Bacteria; Pseudomonadati; Bacteroidota; Flavobacteriia; Flavobacteriales; Flavobacteriaceae. The record is from RNAcentral.
UAUUUGCAGCCGUAUUGAGGUUGCUGUUUUUAAUAUUAAAGACAAGCAUUAAAAGGGAAGUGAGUGAUUGAAAUUUGAAGAUUUAAUAAUCAAAUUCAGAAAUCGAAAAUCUUGCGCUGUACCCGCAACUGUAAGCUAAUAAGCUUGUUGUUAUCUACAAACCAUUGUCUGCUACCGCGGAUGAGAAGGUAAACAACAAGACGCAAGCCAGGAGACCUGCCUAAUACAAUUUGUAUCA